Molecule: ribosomal RNA, 497 nt
Filed under: uncultured bacterium
Lineage: Bacteria
Description: partial 16S ribosomal RNA
Rfam family: Bacterial small subunit ribosomal RNA
Source: RNAcentral
GAUGUACUCCUCCCCGGUGUUUAAUACAAGCAAGUCGAGCGAAGGGACGAGUCGCUCUCUUCUCUGACGUUAGCGGCGGAAGAGGGAUUAACACGUGGAUAACCGCUUGAUAAGGCUAGGAUAACUUCGGGAAACCUGAGCCAAUAUCGGGUAAUCUACAGAACAGCAAGGCCUAAAUGCCACAGACGGUCUUGCCGCUAGUGAUAGAUGGAUCCGCGCUGCAUUAGCUAGUUAGUAAGGUAAAGAUUUAACAAGGCAACAAUGCAUAGCUGACCUGAGAGGGUGAUCGGCCACACUAGAACUGAGACACGGUCCAGACUCCUACGGGAGGCAGCAGUGGGGAAUCGUCCGCAAUGGGCGAAAGCCUGACGUAGCAACGCCGCGUGAGUGAUUAAGGUCUUCGGAUCGUAGAACUCUGUUAUUAGGGAAGAACAUAUGUGUAAGUGACUGUGCACAUCUUGGCGGUACCUAUUCAGAAGGCCACGGCUAACUACGUG